This 71-nucleotide transfer RNA is filed under the name Heliconius melpomene (postman butterfly). RNAcentral's name for it is "tRNA HMEL003188". It matches the Rfam family "tRNA". From Rfam's summary of the family: Transfer RNA (tRNA) molecules are approximately 80 nucleotides in length. Their secondary structure includes four short double-helical elements and three loops (D, anti-codon, and T loops). Lineage: Eukaryota; Metazoa; Arthropoda; Insecta; Lepidoptera; Nymphalidae. The record is from RNAcentral.
GAACGUAUGGUUUAGUGGUCAUAACUCCUAGACGAUUAAAAAAAACGCGGGUUCAAAUCCCGCUACAUUCA